Non-coding RNA from Mycena rosella, 92 nucleotides. The record is from the annotation of a GenBank genome assembly. NCBI's taxonomy places the organism in Eukaryota, Fungi, Basidiomycota, Agaricomycetes, Agaricales, Mycenaceae.
GGCCUGAUAGCACAACUGGAUAGUGCAUCUGCGAAACAUAAAUCUAAACUGGAGUUCAGUGGAAGAUCCCUGUUCGAUUCAGGGUCAGGCUA